GAUGAACGCUGGCGGCGUGCCUAAUACAUGCAAGUCGAGCGAACAGACGAGGAGCUUGCUCCUCUGACGUUAGCGGCGGACGGGUGAGUAACACGUGGAUAACCUACCUAUAAGACUGGGAUAACUUCGGGAAACCGGAGCUAAUACCGGAUAAUAUAUUGAACCGCAUGGUUCAAUAGUGAAAGACGGUUUUGCUGUCACUUAUAGAUGGAUCCGCGCCGCAUUAGCUAGUUGGUAAGGUAACGGCUUACCAAGGCAACGAUGCGUAGCCGACCUGAGAGGGGGAGCGGCCACACGGGAGCUGAGCCGCGGACCGGGCUCCUGCGGGAGGCAGCAGUGGGUCAUCGCCGGGAAGGGGCGAAAUGCUGGCGCAGUGGCGCGGAGUGAGAGAUGAAGGUCCUCGGAUCUUAAAACUGUGUUAUUAGGGAAGAACAAUUUUGUAAGUAACUGUGCCCGGCUUGACGGUACCUAAUAAGAAAGCCACGGCUAACUACGUG
This 497-nucleotide ribosomal RNA is filed under the name uncultured bacterium. RNAcentral describes it as "partial 16S ribosomal RNA". It matches the Rfam family "Bacterial small subunit ribosomal RNA", at positions 28 to 507 of the family's 1533-position model. The record is from RNAcentral.